Molecule: ribosomal RNA, 460 nt
Filed under: uncultured bacterium
Lineage: Bacteria
Description: partial 16S ribosomal RNA
Rfam family: Bacterial small subunit ribosomal RNA
Source: RNAcentral
CCUACGGGUGGCAGCAGUGAGGAAUAUUGGUCAAUGGACGAGAGUCUGAACCAGCCAAGUAGCGUGAAGGAUGACUGCCCUAUGGGUUGUAAACUUCUUUUAUAUGGGAAUCAGAUGUUACACGUGUGGGAUUUUGUAUGUACCAUAUGAAUAAGGAUCGGCUAACUCCGUGCCAGCAGCCGCGGUAAUACGGAGGAUCCGAGCGUUAUCCGGAUUUAUUGGGUUUAAAGGGAGCGUAGGUGGAUUGUUAAGUCAGUUGUGAAAGUUUGCGGCUCAACCGUAAAAUUGCAGUUGAAACUGGCAGUCUUGAGUACAGUAGAGGUGGGCGGAAUUCGUGGUGUAGCGGUGAAAUGCUUAGAUAUCACGAAGAACUCCGAUUGCGAAGGCAGUUCACUGGACUGCAACUGACACUGAGGCUCGAAAGUGUGGGUAUCAAACAGGAUUAGAUACCCGAGUAGUC